RNAcentral lists this ribosomal RNA (440 nucleotides) under uncultured bacterium. Its description in RNAcentral is "partial 16S ribosomal RNA". It matches the Rfam family "Bacterial small subunit ribosomal RNA", at positions 338 to 795 of the family's 1533-position model. The record is from RNAcentral.
CCUACGGGAGGCAGCAGUGGGGAAUAUUGCACAAUGGGGGAAACCCUGAUGCAGCGACGCCGCGUGAGUGAAGAAGUAAUUCGUUACGUAAAGCUCUAUCAGGAGGGAAGAAAAUGACGGUAUAUGAGUAAGAAGCCCCGGCUAACUACGUGCCAGCAGCCGCGGUAAUACGUAGGGGGCAAGCGUUAUCCGGAUUUACUGGGUGUAAAGGGAGCGUAGACGGUGAGCCAAGUCUGAGGUGAAAUGCCGCAGCUUAACUGCGGAACUGCAUUUGAAACUGGCGAACUAGAGUGUGGGAGGGGUAAGCGGAAUUCCUAGUGUAGCGGUGAAAUGCGUAGAUAUUAGGAAGAACACCAGUGGCGAAGGCGGAUUACUGGACCGUAACUGACGUUGAGGCUCGAAAGCGUGGGGAGCAAACAGGAUUAGAUACCCCUGUAGUC